GGGGGCGAACUGGUUUCGACCGGACUAGUGAAGUGUAGGUUGCGUGUCGUGGUUGGUCAGCGGGCCACGUUAAAAGCCGACUAAUAAAUUCAAAUGCCGAACCAAAAUUGGCAUUGGCUGCCUAAUAAUGGCAACCCCGGGUGCAUGCUGUCGCCGAAAUGGUGUGUUAUUCGGACGUAAAUUCGGAUCGUUUCUGUUCAGGUUGACUACGAUAGAAAUUAAAUAAUGUUGUCGAAUCGUUUGCGAGGUACCGUUGCCGAUGAGGGACUGAGCGAACUAAAAAAUAAAUAAUCGGACACACACGUAGACGCUUAUGUGGAUCGGUUUCGGGACGCGGGUUCGAUUCCCGCCGCCUCCAUGC
RNAcentral lists this transfer-messenger RNA (361 nucleotides) under Planctomycetaceae bacterium. It matches the Rfam family "transfer-messenger RNA". From Rfam's summary of the family: Bacterial tmRNA, also known as 10Sa RNA or SsrA, is named for its dual tRNA and mRNA-like properties. Its role is to liberate the mRNA from a stalled ribosome. The record is from RNAcentral. Lineage: Bacteria; Pseudomonadati; Planctomycetota; Planctomycetia; Planctomycetales; Planctomycetaceae.